CAGCCGCCGCGGUAAUACCGGCGGCCCGAGUGGCGGUCACUAUUAUUGGGCUUAAAGCGUCCGUAGCCGGGGUGGGAAGUCCUCCGGGAAAUCUGGCCGCUUAACGGUCAGAAUGCCGGAGGAUACUCCCAGCCUAGGGAGCGGGAGAGGCCGAGGGUAUUCCCGGAGUAGGGGGGAAAUCCUAUAAUCCCGGGAGGACCACCUGUGGCGAAGGCGCUCGGCUGGAACGCGUCCGACGGUGAGGGACGAAGGCCAGGGGAGCAAACCGGAUUAGAUACCCGGGUAGUCCUGGCUGUAAACGAUGCGGACUUUGUGUCGGACAAGCUAUGAGCUUGUCCGGUGCCGGAGGGAAACCGUUAAGUCCGCCGCCUGGGGAGUACGGCCGCAAGGCUGAAACUUAAAGGAAUUGGCGGG
RNAcentral lists this ribosomal RNA (414 nucleotides) under uncultured microorganism. Its description in RNAcentral is "bacterial SSU rRNA". It matches the Rfam family "Archaeal small subunit ribosomal RNA", at positions 459 to 872 of the family's 1478-position model. The record is from RNAcentral.